UGUAGCAUUACUUAAUUUUUUUUUUGGAUUUAGUUGAUAAGUAUAAUUAUAUAUUUAAAUAAGAUAUUUAUUAGGUGAAAUUUUAAAUUUUUAUAUGAGUAUAUUGCUGUUGUUUUGGCUUUGAAGUUUACUAAUAAACUAGGAUUAGAUACCCUAUUAUUAUAAAUGUGAAAUUUUUAUCUAGAUUAGUAUUAGUUAUGAUCUUGAAAAUUAAAGAUUUUGGCGGUAUUUUAUUCUUUUCAGAGGAACCUGUCUAUUAAUCGAUGAUCCACGAUUUUUUCUACUUUUUCUAUGUUUAUAUAUCGUCGUUAUUAAAUAUUUUUAAAAAAAAAUAAUUUUUUAAAUUUUCAUGAAAAAGAAGAUCAGAUCAAGGUGUAGCUAAUGAAAAAGGUAAUGAUGGGUUACAUUAAGUUUAUAAGAGGAUUGUUUUAUUAAAUAAAACAUGAAUUAGGAUUUGAUUGUAAUUUUGAUUAAUUUAUUAUGAUGAUUAUAGCUCUAAAAUAUGCACAUAUCGCCCGUCGCUUUCACCUUAAAGUGAAAUAAGUCGUAACAAAGUAGGCUUACUGGAAAGUGAGCCUGGAAAGGCGGGCUGGAGCUUGAUUAAAGCGUUUUAUUUACAUUAAAAAGUUAUUUGUUAAAUUCAAUUUAGCUUGAAUUUUUUUUUAUUAAUUUUUUUUUAUGAUAAUUUUUUCUUAAAAUUAAAUUUUUAAUUUUUAUUAUACUAUAGAAAAAAUUUUUUUAUUUAUAGUUUAUUUUUACUGUGAAGGUUUUAAUUGUAAUAGUUUAAAGGAUAAUUAAUUUU
Molecule: ribosomal RNA, 802 nt
Filed under: Chlorophorus simillimus
Lineage: Eukaryota; Metazoa; Arthropoda; Insecta; Coleoptera; Cerambycidae
Description: partial 12S ribosomal RNA
Source: RNAcentral